RNAcentral lists this ribosomal RNA (1369 nucleotides) under uncultured bacterium. RNAcentral's name for it is "bacterial SSU rRNA". It matches the Rfam family "Bacterial small subunit ribosomal RNA", at positions 28 to 1381 of the family's 1533-position model. The record is from RNAcentral.
GACGAACGCUGGCGGCGUGCCUAAUACAUGCAAGUAGAACGCUGAAGAGAGGAGCUUGCUCUUCUUGGAUGAGUUGCGAACGGGUGAGUAACGCGUAGGUAACCUGCCUUGUAGCGGGGGAUAACUAUUGGAAACGAUAGCUAAUACCGCAUAACAAUGGAUGACACAUGUCAUUUAUUUGAAAGGGGCAAUUGCUCCACUACAAGAUGGACCUGCGUUGUAUUAGCUAGUAGGUGAGGUAACGGCUCACCUAGGCGACGAUACAUAGCCGACCUGAGAGGGUGAUCGGCCACACUGGGACUGAGACGCGGCCCAGACUCCUACGGGAGGCAGCAGUAGGGAAUCUUCGGCAAUGGGGGCAACCCUGACCGAGCAACGCCGCGUGAGUGAGGAAGGUUUUCGGAUCGUAAAGCUCUGUUGUAAGUCAAGAACGAGUGUGAGAGUGGAAAGUUCACACUGUGACGGUAGCUUACCAGAAAGGGACGGCUAACUACGUGCCAGCAGCCGCGGUAAUACGUAGGUCCCGAGAGUUGUCCGGAUUUAUUGGGCGUAAAGCGAGCGCAGGCGGUUUGAUAAGUCUGAAGUUAAAGGCUGUGGCUCAACCAUAGUUCGCUUUGGAAACUGUCAAACUUGAGUGCAGAAGGGGAGAGUGGAAUUCCAUGUAUAGCGGUGAAAUGCGUAGAUAUAUGGAGGAACACCGGUGGCGAAAGCGGCUCUCUGGUCUGUAACUGACGCUGAGGCUCGAAAGCGUGGGGAGCGAACAGGAUUAGAUACCCUGGUAGUCCACGCCGUAAACGAUGAGUGCUAGGUGUUGGAUCCUUUCCGGGAUUCAGUGCCGCAGCUAACGCAUUAAGCACUCCGCCUGGGGAGUACGACCGCAAGGUUGAAACUCAAAGGAAUUGACGGGGGCCCGCACAAGCGGUGGAGCAUGUGGUUUAAUUCGAAGCAACGCGAAGAACCUUACCAGGUCUUGACAUCCCGAUGCUAUUUCUAGAGAUAGAAAGUUACUUCGGUACAUCGGUGACAGGUGGUGCAUGGUUGUCGUCAGCUCGUGUCGUGAGAUGUUGGGUUAAGUCCCGCAACGAGCGCAACCCCUAUUGUUAGUUGCCAUCAUUCAGUUGGGCACUCUAGCGAGACUGCCGGUAAUAAACCGGAGGAAGGUGGGGAUGACGUCAAAUCAUCAUGCCCCUUAUGACCUGGGCUACACACGUGCUACAAUGGUUGGUACAACGAGUUGCGAGUCGGUGACGGCAAGCUAAUCUCUUAAAGCCAAUCUCAGUUCGGAUUGUAGGCUGCAACUCGCCUACAUGAAGUCGGAAUCGCUAGUAAUCGCGGAUCAGCACGCCGCGGUGAAUACGUUCCCGGGCCU